CCCAAAAUUUACCAAUUUUUGUUACCAUCAUCCAACAUCUUGGAACGUUUCUUCAGCUCAGCAGGUUACGCUUUUAAUGAUUUUCGGCAAUACUUAACACCAAUGAAUUUAGAAAUACAAUUAUUUCUAAAAUUCAAUCGCACUUUCUGGGACGAAGACCUAGUUUCAGAAAUCUGCAAUCGUUCAUGAACUUUUGCUAUAUUAGAACAUUUUA
Octopus sinensis (East Asian common octopus) is the source of this 214-nucleotide long non-coding RNA. RefSeq lists it as uncharacterized. The transcript has 3 exons. The record is from RefSeq and is a predicted model, not a curated record. Lineage: Eukaryota; Metazoa; Mollusca; Cephalopoda; Octopoda; Octopodidae.